GAUGAAGAACGCAGCGAAAUGCGAUACUUGGUGUGAAUUGCAGAAUCCCGUGAACCAUCGAGUUUUUGAACGCAAGUUGCGCCCGAAGCCAUUAGGCCGAGGGCACGCCUGCCUGGGCGUCACACGUCGUUGCCCCCCCAUCUACUCCUUCGGGAUUGCGGGGGGCGGAUGAUGGCCUCCCGUGCGCCUCGUCGCGCGGUUGGCCUAAAUGCCAAGUCCUCGGCGACGCACGCCACGACAAUCGGUGGUUGCGAAACCUCGGUUGCCUGUCGUGUGCGGUCGUCGCGCAUCGAGGGCUCGAAAAAAUUGCCGGGCUUCGGCUCGACUUUCAACGCGACCCCAGGUCAGGCGGGGUUACCCGCUGAAUUUAAGCAUAUCAAUAAGCGGAGGA
RNAcentral lists this unclassified non-coding RNA (391 nucleotides) under soil metagenome. RNAcentral's name for it is "partial contains 5.8S ribosomal RNA, internal transcribed spacer 2, and large subunit ribosomal RNA". The stretch from base 1 to 122 matches the Rfam family "5.8S ribosomal RNA", at positions 35 to 154 of the family's 154-position model. The record is from RNAcentral.